UACGGAGGAUGCGAGCGUUAUCCGGAUUUAUUGGGUUUAAAGGGUGCGUAGGCGGGCUAUUAAGUCAGCGGUAAAAAUUCGGGGCUCAACCCCGUCCGGCCGUUGAAACUGGGGGCCUUGAGUGGGCGAGAAGAAGGCGGAAUGCGUGGUGUAGCGGUGAAAUGCAUAGAUAUCACGCAGAACCCCGAUUGCGAAGGCAGCCUUCCGGCGCCCUACUGACGCUGAGGCACGAAAGUGCGGGGAUCGAACAGG
This 252-nucleotide ribosomal RNA is filed under the name uncultured bacterium. RNAcentral's name for it is "partial 16S ribosomal RNA". It matches the Rfam family "Bacterial small subunit ribosomal RNA", at positions 524 to 776 of the family's 1533-position model. The record is from RNAcentral.